This 330-nucleotide unclassified non-coding RNA is filed under the name plant metagenome. Its description in RNAcentral is "partial contains 5.8S ribosomal RNA, internal transcribed spacer 2, and large subunit ribosomal RNA". The stretch from base 1 to 106 matches the Rfam family "5.8S ribosomal RNA", at positions 50 to 154 of the family's 154-position model. The record is from RNAcentral.
GAAAUGCGAUAAGUAAUGCGAAUUGCAGAAUUCUCGUGAGUCAUCGAAUCUUUGAACGCACAUUGCGCCCUUUGGUAUUCCGAAGGGCAUGCCUGUUCGAGCGUCAUUUUCACCCCUCAAGCCCCCGGCUUGGUGUUGGACGGUCUGGUCCGGGGACCUCAAACCCCCUGGACCCCUCCCAAAGACAAUGACGGCGGGCUGUUGAACCCCCGGUACACUGAGCAUCUUCACGGAGCACGUACCGGUCUCAAGGGUCGACGGCACCCGGUCUAUACCUAUAUUUUUCAAGGUUGACCUCGGAUCAGGUAGGAAUACCCGCUGAACUUAAGC